RNAcentral lists this ribosomal RNA (460 nucleotides) under uncultured bacterium. RNAcentral's name for it is "partial 16S ribosomal RNA". It matches the Rfam family "Bacterial small subunit ribosomal RNA", at positions 338 to 795 of the family's 1533-position model. The record is from RNAcentral.
CCUACGGGAGGCAGCAGUGAGGAAUAUUGGUCAAUGGGCGAGAGCCUGAACCAGCCAAGUAGCGUGAAGGAUGACUGCCCUACGGGUUGUAAACUUCUUUUAUAAAGGGAUAAAGUGAGGCACGUGUGCCUUUUUGUAUGUACGUUAUGAAUAAGGAUCGGCUAACUCCGUGCCAGCAGCCGCGGUAAUACGGAGGAUCCGAGCGUUAUCCGGAUUUAUUGGGUUUAAAGGGAGCGUAGGUGGGUUGUUAAGUCAGUGGUGAAAGUUUGAGGCUCAACCGUAAAAUUGCAGUUGAUACUGGCAGUCUAGAGUACAGUUGAGGUAGGCGGAAUGCGUGGUGUAGCGGUGAAAUGCUUAGAUAUCACGAAGAACUCCGAUUGCGAAGGCAGCUUACUAAACUGCAACUGACAUUGAUGCUCGAAAGUGUGGGUAUCAAACAGGAUUAGAUACCCGUGUAGUC